Hyaena hyaena (striped hyena) is the source of this 923-nucleotide long non-coding RNA. RefSeq lists it as uncharacterized. The record is from RefSeq and is a predicted model, not a curated record. The transcript is spliced from 2 exons. Lineage: Eukaryota; Metazoa; Chordata; Mammalia; Carnivora; Hyaenidae.
AAAGCGCGGACUCGAGAACAGGCCUUCCCACCAAGCCUAGCGCACAGCAGAGCGAUCCCGCAGCGACACCACGUCUCCCGCGGCCCGUCCAAAAUGGCGCCUUUAUCAGCUCGGCGCACGGAUAUGGGGGGGAGGGAGGAAGAGAAGCGGGAGGAAGCAGCUAUUCGAUCUCAGUACGCAUGCGUAAGAGCGUAACGGGUACUGGGAGAGGUACGCUCACGCACGCGCGACGUCACCCUCCGCGCCAAAGGAGAAAAAAGUUCCCCGCUUUCCCGAUUUGCGGAGUGGUUUGCUAGAGAAGUGACCAGUCAUUUGGUAAAAAAAUUAAAACACAGAUCCGUCUUUAAAUGGGUUACUAAUCCCUAAUGAGUCUUAAAGAAUAAACCGUUUUCCCAGGAACGAGUCCCUUUUAGAAACAAGUCCGCGCCUUGAAAGCUUUUGGUGAAACCUAGCCUUGAGCCUCGUCCCACAAUGCUCUACGGCGUUAACGGCCUUUGGCGGGAAAGACUGCCGGGGGCGGAGUUAAAGGGGGAGGGACCUGGCCGUUGCUCCGGAAACGCGGACUUUCUUGGAGAGGGCGCCUAGUCCGGGAGCUCCGCUGCUUGUGAUUCAGGCUUGUGAUUGACUAGGAGCCAAGACCGGACUUUGUAUUCCCGCCCCUUCUGCGCCCAGGCGGUACUAUAAACGAGAAAAAUGGAUGUGUGAGAACUGUGACCGCUGGAGCCCACAGUUGUUCAGGACUGAGCCCACCUGCAAGCUGGCCCAAGGAGAGCACUUUUUACAUUUUUUAGAGAGACCUCUGAAAUCUGGAUUUUUAUGUGAAGUGUUCGGACUUUAAAGUAGUAGUAAUGAAUUCAAUUUCUAAGAAAACCCUGUAUCAUAAAUACCUGCACCCUGUGUUUAAUAAAGGAUGAUUUUCUUCA